RNAcentral lists this long non-coding RNA (5488 nucleotides) under Sus scrofa (pig). RNAcentral describes it as "lncRNA (ENSSSCG00035022473.1)". Lineage: Eukaryota; Metazoa; Chordata; Mammalia; Artiodactyla; Suidae. The record is from RNAcentral.
ACCUGAAAAUGUCAGAGAACUUGUCCCUUAAGAAAAGUUACUGUCACAUCGAUUUUUCUUCUCAUUGAUAUUUACUUGGAUUACCUUCAUUGAGGUAUUUCUAAGUGGAAAUCUGAAAAAGGAAUUUCUUACCAUUUAUACAUAUGCUUAUUAGGAGUUUGACAUAAACUGGCAUGUCACGUUGCUCUGUGAAUGUCAGAAUUCUGACGUACGGACCCAAAGUUACCCGUUCUUAAAUCAUGACUGCCUUAUCUUCCCUGACAAAAUUGAAAGCAAGAAACAAAUUUUGCAUCUAAAGUUUGAAAUUAACAUGACACAUGUGACCUUUGCAAAGUAGAUAUGAUGUGAAGAGACUAACACUUAACAAUGCUUCAGAAUCAUCUAAUACCUUGACCACAAUUAAACAAAAUGGUGUUACCUGUACAUUCUCCAGAUAGAGAUAAGUAUCUAUGUACAAAUGAAUAUUUAACACUUGUUAUACUGAAAUUAUAUAUAAACACCACAGUGAUAGUCAUUUAUUUGCAAAAUCUUGUCAACCUUAAUCAAAAUAUUUAAAACAAUAGUCACUCAACUUUUUAUUUCUCCUAGUUUGUUUCUGCUGUGAAUUCACAUGGUCAGUCAUUUGGGCCUCAAUUUCCAUUUAAAUAUAUGUGGAUCCCCACUUCUCAGGCAGAAUGCAGCUUGGAGGCCAUCAAUAAUUUAUACGCCAGUGUCCUUCCUACAUUCACCACCAUACUCCAAGGUGAAAUACCCAGAAAUUACUAGGCCCUAGAAUAUUGCUAUAGGAGAUACUAGCUUUCCUCUUCCCAGGAAGACUGAUCUGCUGUGGGACUCCCUGUAUCAUGCUUUGGGUGGAAAGAGGCAGUAGGAUAAAAUGGUUUAGUGUGUGGGCCCUGUGCUUAUACUUGGAUACAUUAGCUAUGCUGUUUCCUAUGUGUGUAGCAUUUGCAAAAUUAUGUAAAUUCUCUGAGACUCAUUUUGCAAAGGCUGCAAAUCUAGUUUGUAUAUGACCAUCGCACUUCUUGGUGUAUAAUCUCUGAGUAGCUCUGCAUUAUCUAUAGUAUAAGGUCCUUGUGGUAGAGCAUGCAAGGGUCUUUGUAGUAUGGGUCCCGCCCUUCCAACCCACAUACUCAUGCUCCAGUUAGGCCAAAUUAUUGCCAGCUGUGAAACAUUGCAUAAACCCUUGACCUCUCUGUGCUCCAGUUUCUACAUCCAUAAAAUAGAUGUUCUAAUACUAUAUAUUUCAUAUGGGUAGCUUACUUAGAAUAAUGUCUGACUCAUAUAAAUUCUAAAGAAAUAUUAUUAUUAUUUUUAGAUAUUAUUAACUAUUGCUACUAAUCAUUUUCAUUACUUUGGCUAUCUUUUCAUAUCUGCAACAGACCUUGUCCAAAACAUGCUUCUGGGUGCACAUAAAUGGAAAAUUUCCAGAUCCUACAAUGUAAGAACAGAUAAUGUAUGACUGCACAAGAAAUAAAUAAGAAACAUGAAAAUAGGUCUUGGAACAUGAUGUAUAUUAGGAUCAUUAGUUUACUGGGAGGCAUGGACCAUUGCCAGGCAGUGGUGGUGGGAUUGAGAAGGUCAGGCCCAGAAGCCCCUUUGCCCAAGGCUCUUUUGACCAUGUAAAUUCCCCUGUAAGGGCUACCAGCUUCCAUUGCCAAUCAGUGAGGUUCAUGAGGGAGACCUCAAGAAGCAGUGUGCACCCAACUCUCCAAGCUCUAUCACAUCCUUGUGAUACUCAGCAAAACUUGUGAGCAGAACAGAACAUGGAGCUUGAGUUGCCAUUACACUCACAAACCUAGCCUAGUACCUUGGAAAUGCUUCUUCAGUAUUUUGCUGCUCCAUCUGCCUGAAAGGUCCAUGCCCGUUGACUUGUCCUUUUCACCUAAAUUCUGUCUUUAUUUCUCCAAUAACUAAACUAAAUAUUUAACUUCAGUGAACGCUAAAAGUAAAACUGAAUCAAGAUUGAACAAGACACCAUAAAACUCCUGGAAGAGAACAUAGGCAAAACAUUUUAUGACCUCAACUCUAUGAAUAUUUUCUCAGGUUAGGCUCCCAAAGAAAAAGAAAUAAAAGCAAAAAUAAACCAGUGGGACCUACUCAAACUGACAAGCUUUGGCACAGCAAAGGAAAUCAAAAAGGAACAAAAAGACAACUUACAGAAUGGGAGAAAAUAGUUUCAAAUGAUGCAAUGGACAAGGGCUUCAGCUCUAAAAUAUACAAACAACUUAUACAACUCAAAAGCAAAAAAGCCAACAACCCAAUGGAAAAAUGGGCAAAAGGCCUGAAUAGACAAUUCUGCAAGGAAGAGAUACAGAUGGCCAACAAGCACAUGAAAAAAUGCUCAACUUCCUUGAUUAUUAGAGAAAUGCACAUCAAAACUACCAUGAGAUGCCACCUCACACCAGUAAGAAUGGCCAUCAUUAAUAAAUCCACAAAUAACAAGUGAUGGAGGGGCUGUGGAGAAAAGGGAACCCUCCUGCACUGCUGGUGGGAAUGUAAGUCGAUACAACCACUAUGGAGAACAGUAUGGAGAUACCUUAGAAAUCUAUACACAGAACUACCAUAUGAUCCAUCAAUCCCACUCUUGGACAUAUAUCCAGACAAAACUUUCCUUAAAAAAGACACGUGAACCCCCAUGUUCAUUGCAGCUCUAUUCACAAUAGCCAAGACAUGGAAACAACCCAAAUGUCCAUCGACAGAUGACUGGAGUAGGAAGAUGUGGUAUAUAUACACAAUGGAAUACUACUCAGCCAUAAAAAAGAACAAAAUAAUGCUAUUUGCAGCAACAUAGAUGGAACUAGAGACUCUCGUACUGAGUGAAAUAAGUCAGAAAGAGAAAGACAAAUACCAUGUGAUAUCACUCAUAUUUGGUAUCUAAUAUACAGCACAAAUGAACCUUUCCACAGAAAAGAAAAAUGCGAACUUGGAGAAUAGACUUGUGGUUGCCAAGGGAGAGGGGGAAGGAGUGUGAGGGAUUGGGAGCUUGGGGUCAAUGGAUGCAAACUAUUGCUCAUGGAAUGGAUUUACAAUGAGAUCCUGCUGUGCAGCACUGAAAACUAUAUCUAGAUACUUACAAUGCAGCAUGAAAAUGGGAGAAAAAAUUAUGUAUGCAUGUAUGUGUAACUGGGUCCCCGUGCUGUACAGUGGGAAAAAAAAAAAGUGUGUUGGAAAUAACAAUAAAAAUAAAUUAAAAAAACAGAAAUUGGAGUUCCCUCCAGAAUGUCUUUUUUCUAAAAGUGCACUCCUCGCCCCUUGCCCCUGACUCCAGAUCAGGUAUUGCUGUUUAUAACACUAAACCACAAGGACUCUUUCUUUCCAGACCCUUGGGAUUAUACUUUGGAGCUUUUAGUUGUAGACAAGGAACUGUUCUCAUCCUUUUGUUUGCUUCUAUGGGAUAUGAAUGAAUCUGAAAGGAAUAUACUGUUUUCCUGUUCUAUUGUGAACACUAAUUAAAAAGAAAAAAAGCUAUCUCUUUUCCUUGCACAUUCCAUUAUAUUUUCUGUGGCUUAAAAACAGGAACUCUUAUUUUGGCAUUUAAACAUAAUGCCAGGUCCAUUGUAAGAAGAAUAAUAAACUCAUUAUUUAAAGAAUAAAUUGAUAAAUAAAUGAAUAAAUGGAUUUUGUUCUUUGGAAGCUCAUUUGCCUUAAUGUAUAUGAAAAAACCAACACUAAAUAUGAUAGUGUCUAAAUCCAGAUAUGACACACCUACAUUUCUUUUGUUGUAACUGUAUCUUGACCUAAACAUUUUUCCUCUCAUAAAUAAAGUUCUCUGUCAUACUUAUAGCUGGUUAAAGAAGAUUUUGCAAGACUCAGUGUAUAUACAGGUUUCAGGGAGCUAAAAUGUCAAUAUUCAUAUUACUUCACUUCAUUAAAUCCACAUUCCUAGUGACUUAAACUGUGAAAAAUUUAUUUCUUUAAAAGUCCUCAAAUUGUGCCCAUGUCAGCAGCACAGCACCCGUUAGUCAUCAUGGACCCAGCUCACCUUUCCAGCUAUUGCUCAGCCUGUGACAGGCGAGGUUUAUGAUAGGCAAGCUGAAGGUGAAGGGGAUGGAUGUAUACGCUGCAGAAUACAGCCGAUCGCGCACCUCUGCCAGAUUGCCCGUACGAGGCUCCCAGGGUUCGAGAUCCACUGCCAACAACCACGAUGGCAGUGUGGGCUGGAGUGCCCUUAAUUGGGUGCACAUGCUUUGGCAUCGCUGUGCCCUGAUUAGCGCUGUGUGGGCCGAUCAGCACUAGGCUGGAGUGCAGCACUUUCAGGGAAGAGCAUAUGGGAAGUGCAGAUGUUCAAAGGGUAGCUUCACCCUCCGUGCAGCCAGCAGCCCUCCUUGAAGAAUGAUCAUACCCUAUCCUGAGUAAGUCUAGGCAAGCGGGAUCUGCGUAAAAGUGCUGAGAAAGAUCCGAAUAGUUUCCUGUUCAGAGACUUCCCACUUGGUUCUCCCUUUAGGCACCGUGACUUAAUACUGCAUGCCCUUGAAACAUGACUUCCUAUGAUUUAAAGAAAAGAUAUCAAUAGUAUUGUACGUUGAGAAAAUCAAAAUAUUGAGUAUAAUUCUCUGUGCUGCACAGUAGUUCUUGUCGGUUAUCUAUUUUAUAUACAGUCACGUGUAUCUGUUAAUCCCAACAAAAAAACAUUGUAAAUAAGUAAACUUCAAUUAAAAAAAAAUGAAAAGUAAAGAUUCUCCUGUAACCAGUAGAACUAAAGCCAUCCAAAGGUUACCAAAUCACAUAAUUUAUCAAUAUACAUUCUUACAAUACUCACUGUUCAUUCAUUUAUUAAUUAAGCAAUUUUAUGAAGCACCUACAAUACAUGAGGAACUUGGAAGGGAAAAUGGACCUAGGCAUACAGAAAAAUGAAAGCCAAAAAAAAAAAAAAAAAAGGAAUUCAUUUACUUACAGAGGUCACAAUAUGUCACAGGGAAAUCUAAAUCAGACGACAGCUAAGCAAUUAGUCCCAAUUCUUCCAAUAAUUAGCUGUGCUCUCUGGGUCUCAGAUAUCUCACUCAAAGCUAACCAUGUUCAACUAAAUGAUUACAAAUGUCCCUUCUAGGUCUAAAACAUGAAUUAUACAAUAUGAAUAUAUCCUUUAUCUCCCUUAUCAUAUGGUUAAUUUAUUCAUUAAUGUAUUCAUUUGUUCAGAAAUCUCAGAGCCUAAUUUGCUCAAGGUAUAGUUCUAGGUGAUGGAGACACUGGCCAAAAGACACCUAAGCUUACAUUCUGAUGGGGCAAGAUGCAUUUUAAUAUGCAAGUAAGUGCAUAAAACAACAUACCAUCAUGGAGUCAUCAGGACUAUGAAGAAAAACAAGGACAUAAAACAGAGAGCAGCAGGUGACACAUUUUGUUAGGAAGGUCAAAGCAGAUGCUUCUAUCACAGUUUAAUGGGGAAAUACCAAUAAUAAACAUGUAUGCUAAUCAAUCAAAAACAUACUUUUAGAUACUGAUAAUAUCUAUUUAAAAAAAGGAAUGUGAUAGCAAGUAAAAGGAGUGGGAC